RNAcentral lists this ribosomal RNA (492 nucleotides) under uncultured bacterium. RNAcentral describes it as "partial 16S ribosomal RNA". It matches the Rfam family "Bacterial small subunit ribosomal RNA", at positions 29 to 507 of the family's 1533-position model. The record is from RNAcentral.
AGUGAACGCUGGCGGUGGGCCUAAUACAUGCAAGUCGAGCGGCCGCACAGUAAGCGCUUGCUUCUACGGGUGGCGAGUGGCGGGCGGGUGAGGAAUACAUCGGCAUCUUCUUUUUCGUGGGGGAUUACGUAGGGCAACUUACGCUACUACCGCAUACGUCCUACGGGUGAAAUCAAGAGAUAUUCGCACUUUGCGCGUUUCAUUGAGAUGAAGUCGGAUUAGCUAGUUGGCGGGGUAAAGGCUCACCAAGGCGACGAUACGUAGCAGGUCUGAGAGGAUGAUCGGCCACACUGGAACUGAGACACGGUCCAGACUCCUACGGGAGGCAGCAGUGGGGAAUAUUGGACAAUGGGCGCAAGCCUGACGCAGCAAUACCGCGUGGGUGAAGAAGGCCUUCGGGUUGUAAAGCCCUUUUGUUGGGAAAGAAAAUCAGCAGGUUAAUACCCCGCUAUUCUGACGGUACCCAAAGAAUAAGCACCGGCUAACUUCGUG